AUCCAGUCGAUGAGUCCUAAAUAAGACGAAACGCGCGUCCUGGAU
Schistosoma rodhaini is the source of this 45-nucleotide non-coding RNA. NCBI's taxonomy places the organism in Eukaryota, Metazoa, Platyhelminthes, Trematoda, Strigeidida, Schistosomatidae. The record is from Rfam.